GCCAUACCAGCUAUGGCCAGGAGCUGUAGCUGGGCUGGUGGCCCAUGCCUGUGAUCCCAGCACUUAUGAGGCUGAUACAGAAGAAUCGCCCAUGUGUCUGUUGCUUGCCCAGCUACCUGGAAAAGCCUGUCUUCAGACAACAUGGAACUUAGAACCACAAGCCCGUCCCGAUGUUGCAAUAAGUUUGGCCUUUGGAGAUUGGAGCCAGUUCACUGAGUUGAUUAGUCCACCCCUGCCAUCCUGGGGACCGUGAGUGAGACAGACGACCUUUCCCUCAGUGCACAUCCAAGAAUGUGUAUUGAGUUUGGGACCACAAGUCAUGGAGACGGAGCUAACGCUCGCUCUCAUUGGUGGAAGAUUCCAGCCCCACCCACCGUUUCUCCACACCAAGUCCUAAAUCCUUGGAGCGUAAUUGAAGGAGUGGCGAGAGUGGGCGUGUCAUCGGAGGUGACGUUUCCGGAAGCUCCGACUGUCAUCCUUCAGGAAAGAACUCAUCGGUCCAAUGUCUGACCAUGCAGAUGUGAGCCUCCCACCCCAAGACCGGGUGAGGAUUCUGUCGCAACUCGGUAGUGCAGUUGAGUUAAAUGAAGACAUUCCGCCCCGUCGCUACUUUCGUUCCGGUGUUGAGAUCAUCCGCAUGGCAUCCAUUUACUCUGAAGAAGGCAACAUUGAACAUGCCUUUAUCCUCUACAACAAGUACAUCACGCUGUUUAUUGAAAAACUUCCAAAACACCGAGACUACAA
RNAcentral lists this long non-coding RNA (744 nucleotides) under Rattus norvegicus (Norway rat). RNAcentral describes it as "long non-coding RNA NONRATT021546". Lineage: Eukaryota; Metazoa; Chordata; Mammalia; Rodentia; Muridae. The record is from RNAcentral.